UGCCAGCCGCCGCGGUAAUACGGAGGGGGUUAGCGUUGUUCGGAAUUACUGGGCGUAAAGCGUACGUAGGCGGAUUAGUAAGUUAGAGGUGAAAUCCCAAGGCCCAACCUUGGAACUGCCAUCAAAACUUUUUAGCUAGAGUGUGAUAGAGGUAAGUGGAAUUUCUAGUGUAGAGGUGAAAUUCGUGGAUAUUAGAAAGAACACCAAAUGCGAAGGCAGCUUACUGGGUCACUACUGACACUGAGGAGCGAAAGCAUGGGUAGCGAAGAGGAUUAGAUA
RNAcentral lists this ribosomal RNA (279 nucleotides) under uncultured bacterium. RNAcentral's name for it is "partial 16S ribosomal RNA". It matches the Rfam family "Bacterial small subunit ribosomal RNA", at positions 506 to 784 of the family's 1533-position model. The record is from RNAcentral.